This 6592-nucleotide long non-coding RNA is filed under the name Cricetulus griseus (Chinese hamster). RNAcentral describes it as "lncRNA (ENSCGRG00015037800.1)". Lineage: Eukaryota; Metazoa; Chordata; Mammalia; Rodentia; Cricetidae. The record is from RNAcentral.
GUAAGCCAAAUGUAUCCUUUUCUUCCCAACUCGCUUUUGGUCAUUGAAGUAAUCAUAACCCAAACUAAGACAGGGAUCACUUUGUGAGGCAGGAAAAAGAAAGUGGAGGUGGUAGGGGUGGGGGGUGGGACUGUAGCUUCAUCAACACCAUCCCCCUAACUCUUUUCUCUAGAUGCCCCAGAAAACUGGACUUAUUUACUAUGUCUCUCAAGUUGAAUGUGAGCAUGCACACAUGGAAAAGCCAGGCCCUCAUCUUGUUUCUCCCUUUCUUUUUAAAAAAUCAAGCCAGGUGACGGUGGCAUACACCUUUAAGGAGGCAGAGACAGGCGGAGCUCUGAGUUCGAUGUCAGCCUGGUCUACAGAGUUCCAGGACAGCCAGGGCUACACAGAGAAACUCCAUCAAAUAUGCAUAAAAAUAAAAUAAAUAAAUCUUUAAAAAAUAUCUACAAGAAGGAAUCAGAGCUACUUUGUGCAAAGUAUGCCCAAAGAUCCCAGGUUUUCAGCCAGAGAGAUGAUUUGGUUGAUAAAAAACACUUGUCACGAAACCUGAUAACCCAAGUUGAAUCUCUCAAACUCACAUGGUAAAAAAACAAAGCAAGCUGUCCUCUGACCUCCAUGUGCACAAAAUGUCAUAUGUGCCCAAACAUAAAUGCAAACACACAAAUAUGCAUAAUAAAAUUGUUUAUUUAAAUCUCUUAUUUUUGUAAUCCAAAUGCUCACUGUAACCCUAUCACUUAUAGCUUGUCCACCUCUUCCCAACAUAACCUGCACCCCAUUAAGAAUGUGUCAGCAGGCUUUAGAAUCAUGGUGCACAGGGCUUCUGUGUCAUAAGAGCCUCUUCUUGACAUGACUUCACCUACACACUGUGUGUGACUCCAUGUUUCCAAGGAUGGGUAGCCUAGUGGGCCUUGCCCUUAAAGUUGAUAGACUCCAUUGCCUCUGGCAGUUUCAAGUAGAGUUUCUCAUUUCCAUCUUUGUUUCUGGCUUCUUAAAUCCUCUAAACUAAGAUGAAUUGAGUGAUCUUGCUUGGGAUGUUGUAAGGUUUGGGGAGCAAGGGCAGAUCCACCCUACUUUGACAGUAUUACAUCAACAUUUUAGAUUUAUUAGUAAUAGUGUGUGCUUGUGCGUGUGUGUGUGUGCGUGUGUGUGUGUGUGUGUGUGUGUGUGUGUGUGUGUGUGUGUGUGUGUGUGUGUGUGUGUACAGCAAGAUUCCUUCUCACUGCCACCUCCCCACCAAGGGAGUCUAUCUCACUAAAGUUCACAACUGGUUUUGAGACUAGUGAGGGCUGUGGGCUUGCCCUGACAGUGGGACUGCAGUCUGUUCUCACAAGGGUCCCCAGCUUGCUUUUUGGACAUAUCUUUCUUCCCCUCUCCUCUACCCAGGAGCCUUCCUUUCUAUACACUGACAGCUGUCUUUUUCUCUGCACUUUUCAGGUAUUGUAUCACUUACUACCUUUGCUCUUCAUGUCUUUGGAAUAGACCCCUCCUAUUUUUUUUUUUUGUUUGUUUUAUUCGCACUCUUCUUCUCUGGGUCACAUGGAAGUAACUUCUAAGCAACCAUCUGUGGUGGUUUGAAUAAGAACGGCCCCAGUAGGCUCUUAUAUUUGAAUUGUUAGUCAUCAGGGAGUGGGCUCUAUUUGAGAAGGAUUAGCAGAUCCUCCUUGGUGGAGGAAGUGUGUCACUGGGGAUCAGGAUCAGGAUGUAGAACGCAAUUAUUUCUCCCACACCAUGUCUGCCUGCAUGCCACCGUGCUCCCACCAUGAUAAUAGUGGUCUAACCUCUGAAACUCUAAACAAGCCCCCAGUUAAACGCCUUCUUUUAUGAGGGUUGCCUUGAUUAUGGUGUCUCUUUACAGCAAUAGAACAUUGAUGAAGACACCAUCUUACCCAGAAGUUCUUUCGAGACAGUCUGUGUUGUUAAGGCUGACCUUGAGUUCAUGGGCUCAAACAAUGUUGCCUCAAUCUCACAAGUCUCUGGUGACUACAGGUAUGCAGUAACAUGCCUAACUUGUAUUUAUUUCUCUUUAUUUUUAAAUAAAAGGAAACUUUUUGUAUUGUUUUGUGGUUUUUCGAGUCAGGCUUUCUCUGUGUAGCCCUGGCUGUUGUGGAACUUGCUCUAUAGACCAGGCUGGCCAGGAACCCACAGAGAUCUGCUUAUCUCUGCCUCCCAUGUGCUUAGAUUAAAGGUGUGGUCAUCACUGCCAGGUUAUAAGCAUCUCUUAAGCCUCGCCAUUAUAAAGAAACUGCAGUGAGUGGCAGUUAGUUCUAGGCUUUAGUUCUGGAAUGCUAAUUACUGUUGCUUCAGGAAAUUAUCACCAUUUAACCAAAAUGGAAAAGCUUUUUAAAAUGGAGUAGCCAUGGCUAACAGAACCUAAGGAACAACAGAUAAAGUUGUCUUAUGGCCUUCAUGUGUACAUGUACACACACACACACACACACACACACACACACACACACACACACACACACGAGAGAGAGACCAAAAAAACACCAUAAACUUUUCAUAACUGAAUUAAGUGUAUUUCAAGCAAUUUUUUUUUCUUUUUUUAAAUGUCUGUUACUUUUCUGUACUCCCGUUUGCCCUCUGUCCUCCAGGCCUUCACGUGUUUGUCCCUCUGUUUCUAACUCAGCCUGUCUGUGAAUCUGCUUUUAAGAUUCAAUUCAAGUGAUACAGUGGUGGUACACGACUUUAAUCCCAGCACUCAGGAGGCAGAGACAGGCGGAUCUCUGUGGGUUUGAGUCCAGCCUGGUCUACAAGUGAGUUCCAGGACAGCCAAGGCUACACAGAGAAACCCUGUCUUGAACCCAUCACCCCUCAAAAAAUAUCAGCCUAAAUAGAGCACCUUCUACUGCUUGUACCUUGUACACUUUACUUUUCUCCUCAGAUUAAUUUUUCCUGUUUAUAUUCCCAAUUCUGAGUAUACUGUAGCACGUGUGUGUGUGUGUGUGUGUGGUGUGUGGUGUGUGUGUGUGUGUGUGUGUGUGUGUGUGUGUGUGUGUGUGUAUCAGAGUUGUUUACUGGAGCAAAAGUGAGAGUUUCUUUACAGGAUGGGCAUCGGUACAAUACUAGAAUGAAAAACUCUUUUGUUUCAAAACAAAAGGUCCUUUUUUUCCCCCUUUGGUUUUUCGAGACAGGGUUUCUCUGUGGGUUUGGAGGCUGUCCUGGGAACUAGCUCUUGUAGACCAGGCUGGUCUCAACCUCACAGAGAUCCACCUGCCUCUGCCUCCCGAGUACUGGGAUUAAAGGCUUGCACCACCAACGCCCGGCAGCGGUAUUUUCUUGGCUAGGUCUAUUCCAAUUUGUUUUUGUUUUUAAGGCUACUGUGUAUUUGGUGCAUAUAUAUUUAGAACUGUAGUGUCCUCUUGUCAGCUUGUUCCUUUGUUUGUUUAUUUAUUUGUUGGAUAUUAGAGUAGCAAUGCCUGUCUGUUUCCUAGUUUGAUUUGCUUGGGAUACGUUUUCCAGCCUUUUAUCCUUCUUUCUGGCGAUCGGCAGUUGGCCAUUAACACUGUCCCCGGCGGAUGACCUCUCCUCUCUUCUCUCUUACUCUCUGCUCUGCUCUGAUCUUCCAGUUCUCUCCCCCCUCUCUCUCCCAAGCUAUAAUAAACUGGUUAAUGUGUUCUCCAUAAGUUCCAUUGUCCAUCUCUCUCAAAUUUCUAAUUUAAGCAAAAGAAUAACAGUAUCUACCUUUGAUGGUGAGACGUUUUGUGUCUUUGGGAAGCAGCAAAUAGAUGGAUCCUGCUUUUAAGUACAGUUUGCUAGUCAGUGUCUUAUGAUUGGAAACCAUUAAUAUUUGGAAGUAUUGUUGAAAGGUGUAUAUUAAUUAUUGCCAUUUUGCUGGUUUUGCAGUGUUUGUUGUUUUCCAAAUUCAUAUUUGUUUAGCUGUCACAGUAGCAUCUAAAGCCUCUACGAUGUGCUCGUUGUUUUUCUCAAUCCAAAGAAUUCCUCCCAGUAUCUGCUAUGGAGCUGAUGUUGUGGACAUAAAUUCCCUCGCCUGCUCUAUUUAGAGGAUGUUCUUUUUCUAUCAAUUAUAACAGAUAGUUUCCCUGGGUAUACUUGUUAGGUUCAAAGCAGGCCCUAAAACUGGCAGUGCUGGCGACACCAUCCUAAACAGAAGGGCUCUGAGCAGGUAAACAAGGGUAAGCAGAAGCCUACACUCAGCAUUCCUCAGGAAUCUCCUAAGGAAGACUUGCGUUUACUAGGAAAACACACCACUUCCCUUACUCCCUUACCCACCCAAACUACCUGGAGCAAGGGCAUCUAGUUCCCAAAUAAUUAAUCUAAUAGCCGACUAUCAGCUCAAAGACCCGCAUCCUGUUGGCUCUUAUAGAGAACCUGCUCACUUUCCUGCCAAGCUCCUGCCAUCGAUUCUUGGAGUCAGAUUGGCAGUUUGUUCCCCCAAUAAACUUUUCUUUCUCCCCAUUGAGUAGUCCAGUCUGGUGGCUUCACUGAACCCUUACUUACAAUAUUAAUCUGGGUUGACAAGUAUUAUCUUUCCAAACCUGAAGUGUAUUUUUCCAUGUUCUGGCUUUUAUUUAAAGUUUCUGCUGAGAAAUGAGCUGUUAUUCAGGUGGGGCUGCCUUUGCAUGUGACUUGUGUUCAGCUGGAACCUCCAGCUGGCCCAUACAUGGUCCAGAAAGCCCCAUUCCUGUCUCUCCAAACCCCACCCACUCAGAGGCUCUCCAACAAAGGGAAGGCACAAAAAAGCCCAAUUGCACGUUCUUAGCUGCUGUGGCUUCCUCCCCUGAAGUUGCAUCUGCCCAAGUCCCCACCUAAGGCACUCAGCUUUUGACCAUACUUGAGCUCAAACCCAGACUGUGGUGGACAUGUCAUCACCCCCUCACCUAAAACCUAUAUAAUCUCCUUGCUUUUGUUUGGGCAUGUGGCUUCUCUGGCCCCAAUCUCUGGGACUGGAGAACCUGCCUGGGAGUUGCUUUGCUCAAAUAAACUUAUUAUACUUUUUCAAGUUGGCUUGAUCUGGCGUACCUGUGUUAGUGGAGAAACCUAUUAUGAGGGGACAGAAAACCUAUUAUUAUCUUGGUGCCAAAACCCAGAAGGAGACAUAAUCCACUUUUGACUUGGGGUAAGCCACCCAUUUCCUAGUCACCACCUAAAGAGGUACAGGUCACCUCUUCCCAGUUCCAGGACCUUCGGGAUCCCCUACCAAGCCACAGUUGUGCCAGGGUAAGCCCAAUCUGUGCAGAGACGGUCUCUGUUUGAGGGGGGGCUUUGUGUAAGGAGAUAUCAUUCCCAAAGGCUACCCCACCCCCACUGCUCCACCCCAGGCUAUCUCGUGGGAUGCUUUGCCCUAGUCUUCACUCCAGCACAGACUUGGAAAUGAGCAAUGCCAGGUCUAAACCUAAUCCUCAGUCAGCCCUGAGGUGUCUGCUGUGAAAUUUAUCCAAAUUGGGGCUGUCUCAGACCAUACACCCAAAACCUUAGUCAGCCCUGAGGUGUCUGCUGUGAAAUUUAUCCAAAUUGGGGCUGUCUCAGACCAUACACCCAAAACCUUAUGUCCAGGUUUAUUUUGUUUUGGUUUUUCUUGCUGUUGUUACUGUUUGGUUUUGGGUUUUUUUAGAUUUAUUUAUUUACUGUGUUGUCUUUGGUUUGCAUGUUUGUCUACAGGCCACAAGAGGGCACCAGAUGUCAUUGCAGAUGGUUGUGAGCCACCUUUUUUUCUUUGCAUUGGUGCCAAAGAUUAGGCUCUCCUGGUAUUUGGUCUGGCCAUGCUGGGAUACUACCUGUCCCAUUCCACCCAAACAGAUCUGAUCUCCCUGCUUGUUUCUGUCUGCUGUUCCACCCUACCACGGUAGGAUCCUACCCACUCACUCCACCUGCAACAGAUGCGCUCAUUUGUUUCUGUCUGCUUUCCUACUCUAAACUUCAUAAAUGUCUGGUCUAUACAUUUGUUGCAAUGUGGGAGUCAGAGCCAGAGAGGCCAGCUACUGUGUGCCCAGCACACACCUUUUCUCCCUUGCAGCAUCUACCGAUCUAAUAAGACAUACCAGCUCCUGGCAGGACCCCUGUCUCCCCCCAAAGAAAAUGGAUGGGUGCAGCACCAAGGCAAUAGAUUUUCUGUCCCCAAAUAAUAGGUUUCUCCACCAACAAUCAAGCCAAAUUGAAAAAGUAUUACAGGUUUCUUUGAGCAAAGCAACUUGGUGUUUCUCUUUGUUCUGUAUAUUUAGUGUGUAACUAUAACACAAUAGGGAGAGUUUCUUUUUUGUCAUGUCUAUUUGGAGCUAUAUAUGCUUUUAUUUUUUUCUUUACUUCAAUGGGCCUCUUUCCCUCUAGAUUUUGGAAUUUCUCUACUAUAACUGUAUUGAAAACAUUUUCUAUGCCUUUGACAUGGAGUUCUUUGGAGGAAGAAAAAGCAGGGGAAAGAAUAAGGAGAGAAGGCUCUUGCAGGGGGGUUACAUGUGGGUGUAAAACGACAAAAGCAAGAUAGAGUAAGAAGGGCUGAGCCAGGCUGCUAAAUAAUAUCGGGUAUUAAAGAGGGAAAUUGCUGGGUAGAGAUAUAGGAUAUAAAAACUGACUGGCAGGGCUGAAGAGAUGGCUCAGAGAUCUGCUCUUCCAGAGGUCCUGAGUUCAAUUCCCA